RNAcentral lists this ribosomal RNA (460 nucleotides) under uncultured bacterium. Its description in RNAcentral is "partial 16S ribosomal RNA". It matches the Rfam family "Bacterial small subunit ribosomal RNA", at positions 338 to 795 of the family's 1533-position model. The record is from RNAcentral.
CCUACGGGAGGCAGCAGUGAGGAAUAUUGGUCAAUGGGCGAGAGCCUGAACCAGCCAAGUCGCGUGAAGGAUGACGGCCCUACGGGUUGUAAACUUCUUUUGUCAGGGAGCAAUUGGGUCCACGCGUGGGCUUAGCGAGAGUACCUGAAGAAAAAGCAUCGUCUAACGCCGUGCCAGCAGCCGCGGUAAUACGGAGGAUGCGAGCGUUAUCCGGAUUUAUUGGGUUUAAAGGGUGCGUAGGCGGAAUUUCAAGUCAGCGGUAAAAAUUCGGGGCUCAACCCCGUCGUGCCGUGGAAACUGGUGGUCGUGAGUGUGCGGGAAGUAUGCGGAAUGCGUGGUGUAGCGGUGAAAUGCAUAGAUAGCACGCAGAACUCCGAUUGCGAAGGCAGCAUACCGGCGCCCAACUGACGCUGAAGCACGAAAGCGUGGGGAUCGAACAGGAUUAGAUACCCCAGUAGUC